This 182-nucleotide ribosomal RNA is filed under the name uncultured bacterium. RNAcentral describes it as "partial 16S ribosomal RNA". It matches the Rfam family "Bacterial small subunit ribosomal RNA", at positions 1320 to 1500 of the family's 1533-position model. The record is from RNAcentral.
AUGAAGUCGGAGUUGCUAGUAACCGCCGGAUCAGCAUGCCGCGGUGAAUACGUUCCCGGGCCUUGUACACACCGCCCGUCGCACCAUGGGAGUUGGGAGUGCCCAAAGCCGGUGAGGCAACCGAAAGGAGCCAGCCGUCUAAGGCAAGACCAAUGACUGGGGUGAAGUCGUAACAAGGUACC